CCCGCUGAACUUAAGCAUAUCAAUAAGCGGAGGAAAAGAAACUAACAAGGAUUCCCCUAGUAACUGCGAGUGAAGCGGGAAGAGCUCAAAUUUAAAAUCUGACUGCCUCUGGCUGUCCGAGUUGUAGUCUGGAGAAGUGCUUUCCGUGUUGGACCGUGUAUAAGUCUCUUGGAACAGGGCGUCAUAGAGGGUGAGAAUCCCGUCUUUGACACGGACUACCAAUGCUUUGUGAUGCGCUCUCAAAGAGUCGAGUUGUUUGGGAAUGCAGCUCAAAAUGGGUGGUAAAUUCCAUCUAAAGCUACUAUAUAGGCGAGAGACCGAUAGCGAACAAGUACCGUGAGGGAAAGAUGAAAAAGCACUUUGGAAAGAGAGUUAAACAGUACGUGAAAUUGCUGAAAGGGAAACGCUUGAAGUCAGUCAUGUCUGCCAGGACUCAGCCUUGCUUCUGCUUGGUGCACUUUCUGGUUUGACGGGCCAACAUCAAUUUUGACCGUUGGAGAAAGGCUUUGGGAAUGUGGCAUCUUCGGGUGUGUUAUAGCCCAUUGUCGUAUGCAUCGAUUGGGAUUGAGGACCGCAGCACGCCUUCAUGCCCGGGGUUCGCCCACGUACGUGCUUAGGAUGUUGGCAUAAUGGCUUUAAGCGACCCGUCUUGAAACACGG
RNAcentral lists this ribosomal RNA (660 nucleotides) under uncultured fungus. RNAcentral's name for it is "eukaryotic LSU rRNA". It matches the Rfam family "Eukaryotic large subunit ribosomal RNA", at positions 24 to 664 of the family's 3401-position model. Lineage: Eukaryota; Fungi. The record is from RNAcentral.